AUAACACAUGUUGGACAUACGUGGACUGGAAAAUGUUUCUUUGGGCUGCUCUAGCUAAUAUAAAUGGCAGUGUUGAAUAGGUUUUUUGUACUUGGUUAACUUUACCUAAAACCAAUUUACUUCAAUUAGUAGAUCAUUUUAUGUUUGACCUGAGUUUUUCUGAGUGAUGGUGGAUAUCACGUGGCACCUGAACAAAUACAAUUGUCCCCUCUACCGCCACAGUGCUUCUUUCAUCUCAAAUGUUUUGAAUAGGAUUUUGGAGCAAUCUAAGCAUAGUAUUAGUGAUGACGCCCAAAUGUUGACGUGUCACAAUUAGCCUCCUGCCAUGUUCUUUCCUCAUUCCUUUCACUUUCAUGUCACACACACACACACACAAUACGUAAUAGUUCACCCAUGCAGAAAAUGAUUUCCCUUUGUCGAAACAGGACUUCCCUUUCCUACUCCAGCAGUCUAGGAAAUAUCUCAAGGGAACCAAAAACUGACUGGUGUUAGCUUGAACUAAUUGAAAGGUUACUGAAUCUGUCUGCAAAUUCACCACUAUUUUGCUACCUAGGCCUGUAACAAAUUAACUAGUGACCUCGUACCUUGAUCUUGGACCUAUCAGACGAAUUGUUGCACUGAAAUUAUGACAUGCUUGACUUCCUGUACACAAUAUCCUUCCUAGAGACACCCUUUCUCUCACUUUCCCCCAGGAAAUACAAACAGGAGACCGCAGUGAUGUAAUAAGAAGUCUCAGAUAAUUGUGCCUUGUCUCUUGUGCUUGGUUUCAGACAUGUACAUGCCACAAAACACAAAUUGCAUAAUGAUUUAAAACUGGAUCAAAUAUUAACAGAUAUCUACCCCUCUCUCUUUCUGUGUCUUACUCACAGGUCUCUCUCUGAGAGAGAGAGAGAGAGAGAGAGAGAGAGAAACACACUCAGACCAGACCAUGACAAAACGGAGAUAUCUCUCAAUGCAUAUGGGCACACUUAACCCCGCCCAUAAGUAAGAGAGAGACUGUGAUUAAAAGGAGCAGUUUAUGCAGCCCUGUGUGGGCUACGGUAACGAAGAGUGCUCUUAAAGUCGGCGACGAUUUAAUCGCCUCAGAAUGAUCGGAAUCGUAGGAAAGUUAUUAUUGCUGUAUAUCUCUUUGGUCCAGACGAAUCCACCUCAGUCUGUGAAGAUCUCUGUUACAGAUGCUGACACAGUGUAUGAGUGCAGUGCAGAUGCCAACACACCCACUCAGUACACAUGGACAAGAGAGGGUCAGCCCCUACCCAGUACUGGGGUGAGGGCAGAGGGCCACAGACUGGUGUUCCUGGAGUUCACUUCUGAGCUGAAUGGCCUGUACACCUGUGAGGUCACAACCCCCGAAGGGGCCCAAAGGGCCACAAUCACUCGCUAUGUAACGACCGGAGGAUCUAAAAUAGACUUUUCUCUGUUAGCUGUGGUGACCAUUGGGGCUGUUCUCAUCGUCACACUCUGGCAAUGGUAAAUACCUCAUUGUCAAAAGGAGGAAACAACAGAGAAGUUUGAAAGCUCUACUCCCAUACCACACCUGAGCUUUUUAAUCAAUGUGCUGAUGAAUCAUAUUUAUGAAUUAUAUCUACAAUUAUAUCUUUAUGUUCCUCCCACGGUUUUGGUUUAAAUAAAAACAUAUUUUUGCAACAAUUACUCUCGGCUCUC
Molecule: long non-coding RNA, 1665 nt
Organism: Clupea harengus (Atlantic herring)
Lineage: Eukaryota; Metazoa; Chordata; Actinopteri; Clupeiformes; Clupeidae
Source: Ensembl